UACGUAGGGUGCAAGCGUUGUCCGGAAUUAUUGGGCGUAAAGAGCUCGUAGGCGGUCUGUCGCGUCGGCUGUGAAAACCGGGAGCUCAACUCCGGGCCUGCAGUCGAUACGGGCAGACUGGAGUUCGGCAGGGGAGACUGGAAUUCCUGGUGUAGCGGUGAAAUGCGCAGAUAUCAGGAGGAACACCGGUGGCGAAGGCGGGUCUCUGGGCCGAUACUGACGCUGAGGAGCGAAAGCGUGGGGAGCGAACAGG
This 253-nucleotide ribosomal RNA is filed under the name uncultured bacterium. RNAcentral's name for it is "partial 16S ribosomal RNA". It matches the Rfam family "Bacterial small subunit ribosomal RNA", at positions 524 to 776 of the family's 1533-position model. The record is from RNAcentral.